This 68-nucleotide small RNA is filed under the name Fukomys damarensis (Damara mole-rat). RNAcentral describes it as "XIST 3' intron conserved motif (ENSFDAG00000001581.1)". The record is from RNAcentral. Lineage: Eukaryota; Metazoa; Chordata; Mammalia; Rodentia; Bathyergidae.
GUGGUCUUUUCUAUUUUACAGUCACUCACAGUGGGUGGGACAGGAAGAAGAGUGAAGGAAAAUGUCAA